UGGGGAAUAUUGCACAAUGGGGGAAACCCUGAUGCAGCAACGCCGCGUGAAGGAUGAAGGUUUUCGGAUUGUAAACUUCUAUCGAUGGGGAAGAAUAAAUGACGGUACCCAGGUAAGAAGCCCCGGCUAACUACGUGCCAGCAGCCGCGGUAAUACGUAGGGGGCAAGCGUUAUCCGGAAUUACUGGGCGUAAAGGGUGAGUAGGCGGUUUUAUAAGUCACAUGUGAAAUUCCGUUGCUUAACGACGGAACUGCAUGAGAAACUAUAGAACUAGAGUACAGGAGAGGUAAGCGGAAUUCCUAGUGUAGCGGUGAAAUGCGUAGAUAUUAGGAAGAACACCAGUGGCGAAGGCGGCUUACUGGACUGAAACUGACGCUGAGUCACGAAAGCGUGGGGAGCGAACA
RNAcentral lists this ribosomal RNA (404 nucleotides) under uncultured Eubacteriales bacterium. Its description in RNAcentral is "uncultured Clostridiales bacterium partial 16S ribosomal RNA". It matches the Rfam family "Bacterial small subunit ribosomal RNA", at positions 355 to 774 of the family's 1533-position model. The record is from RNAcentral. Lineage: Bacteria; Bacillati; Bacillota; Clostridia; Eubacteriales.